Molecule: ribosomal RNA, 493 nt
Filed under: uncultured bacterium
Lineage: Bacteria
Description: partial 16S ribosomal RNA
Rfam family: Bacterial small subunit ribosomal RNA
Source: RNAcentral
GAUGAACGCUGGCGGCGUGCCUAACACAUGCAAGUCGAACGAAGCGCCUUUUAAGAUUCUUCGGAUGAUUGAUCGGUGACUGAGUGGCGGACGGGUGAGUAACGCGUGGGCAACCUGCCCUGUACAGGGGGAUAACAGUUGGAAACGGCUGCUAAUACCGCAUAAGCGCACGAGAGGGCAUCCUCUUGUGUGAAAAACUCCGGUGGUACAGGAUGGGCUCGCGUCUGGUUAGCUGGUUGGCAGGGUAACGGACUACCAAGGCGACGACCAGUAGCCGGUCUGAGAGGAUGAACGGCCACAUUGGAACUGAGACACGGUCCAAACUCCUACGGGAGGCAGCAGUGGGGAAUAUUGCACAAUGGGGGAAACCCUGAUGCAGCAACGCCGCGUGAGUGAAGAAGUAUUUCGGUAUGUAAAGCUCUAUCAGCAGGGAAGAUAAUGACGGUACCUGACUAAGAAGCUCCGGCUAAAUACGUGCCAGCCGCCGCGGUAA